GCUCUUGUUGAACACAGAGCAUGCUGGAAACUACUCCUGCGAGGCUGACAAUGGCCUGGGAGCCCAGCACAGUGAGGUGAUGACACUCAGUGUCAUAGGAAUUUCCAGGAACAGAACUGGUCCUGCCACUGUACGAGUCAUUGUGGGGUUGUUUGGCCUUUCAGUUACUGCUGCUUCGCUGUAUUACUUCAGGACCCAGAAGAAAUCAGUCCCAUUGCAUAUCAGGAGGCUUCCUUGUCCGGACCUGCCACAAUCCAUCUGGAGGAGUCUGUCCACUAUGAGUUACUGGCCUUAAAGGACCUGCAGCCAGUGUACACCAAUGGUGAGAUCUAAGGGACAGGGAAAUCCAGGGGUGAUCCA
RNAcentral lists this long non-coding RNA (360 nucleotides) under Fukomys damarensis (Damara mole-rat). RNAcentral describes it as "lncRNA (ENSFDAG00000028910.1)". The record is from RNAcentral. Lineage: Eukaryota; Metazoa; Chordata; Mammalia; Rodentia; Bathyergidae.